Eucalyptus grandis is the source of this 2897-nucleotide RNA transcript. RefSeq lists it as uncharacterized. NCBI's taxonomy places the organism in Eukaryota, Viridiplantae, Streptophyta, Magnoliopsida, Myrtales, Myrtaceae. The record is from RefSeq and is a predicted model, not a curated record. The transcript is spliced from 5 exons.
AAUAAAAGCUCAGUGAACUCGUCGGCCGGCCGAACGUUCGCAGAUAAAUAUUUUCCAAGGACUAGAACAGAGUUAUUUUGGUUCGAAAUUUGCAAUUAGGUAAAAAAUUUAAAGAAAAUCCCCGAAUUGAAUUAGCAUUUUCAAAUUUUUCACGUGUUCUUUCUUCUCUCCCGCCGCUCAAGCAGAUCGCUCUCGCCCGAUCCUCCGCCGCGCCGCUCCGGUCCUCCGCCGCUCCUCGCGAGCUUCAUUCGCCGCCGUCUCUUCUUCUCUCCCCGGUUCCGUCGUCCGCAAGCUUUCAAGCCCUUCUUCGCGAGCUUCAAGUCCUUCAUCCGCCGAGCUUCGCUCCCGUUCGAACGAGGUUAGCGUCGCUCAAAUUGGUGCAGUUCGUCCAAGAGACAGCGAUCGCAGCUUGUCGAAGCAACGCGGCGACACGGUGCGGGCUCGUCGUGGGAACAUCCCGCCGAUGGCAGCGAGGCUCUCUUCCCAAGCUCGAAUGGGCCGCUCCGAUUUCAGUCACGGAGCGUGCGAUUUCCUGGGAAAGACCCCGGAUUCCGCAUUCUCUCUUCUUCGAUGCUCCUCGGUCUAUUCGUGCCGCUGCAGUUCCCGAAAGAACGGAAUUUCCUUUCCCUCCCAAUGCCCCUGCGCCGUAAGAUGGACCCAAGCUGGCGAGGUGGGUUCUUCUCCCUCGGCGUAAAUUUGGGAUUUGUCUCGCACCGGCGUUGCUCCAGCAAAGGCUUUUUUGUUUUUGGCCUCCGACGGGGUUGGAGAGUAUAUCUGUAGGGUGAGCAUAGCACAUAAGCUGAAGCCACUUGCCAUAUGAUCAAUAUGUAGCUUCCCUUUGACCAUGUGAUUUGCUUGUUACUUGCUUUAAGAUCUUGUUUCUCGGAACGCCAAUGUACUUUUCUAAAGAUGGUCAUAAGGAGCCUUCGUCUAUGCCAUUAAAGGGCAAAGCUGGGAAGGCUUGAAAUUAAUAGAGUUAUUGAACUGAGGAAUUAAUGCAGCGAGUGCAUGAAUCGCUUCAAUUCAAGCUUUAAUAAGUUACGAGGUUGUGAAAUAAUUUGUUGUUUUCAGGUAGAGGAGUCAUGUAGUGAGAAAAUCAAGUGAGAAAUUGAUUGCACUUCUCUAUCUUCAAUUCUGCUACUCUCUUAAUCCUUAUUUCCCCUUUCAUGUCCCUAACUGGGGACUCUACAUUGCUGUAAGCUUGUCUUUACGCCUUUAUACAUUCGAUGGGAAUAAUGUCACAUUUUUAAGUACUAACAGUUGGUUCACAAUACGCUAUUCAUUUCUUGUACGAGAGAUGAAUUCUUCAAGGUGUCUUUCAUUGCAAGUGGAAAACAAGAUGCUUCUCGAGGGCCAGCCCCAAAUGAAGAUGGUCGUCUCAAAGGAACCGUGCAUGCAUACUUUGCAUUCAAAGCUUGACCUUCCAAAAUUCUCAUUUGAGUAGAACUUGUGCUUGUGUGCGAAUUUGAAGCUCCACUUUGAAUUAGUCAGGAUUUGAAAAAUGGUCUUUUAUCGCAAUCAUCAUCAAUUUCUAUUUCAGAGAAGUGGAUAAUUAUACAUUGAUAUUCUUCUGAAUUAAUUGAAACUAUCCGGCUGAAAGUUUCAUGAAUUUGACGGGCAAUAAGUACGGAAACUCAAGAUAAAAGGGAUUUUUCUCUCUAUGAUCGAUGAUAGAAGGUCUAACCGUCAGUGCAGAUAGGCCAGAAGUGCAAGAAGGAAAUCGCAAGCAGGAAUAGGAAGUUAUGUGAAUUUAUUUCUGGGCUAAGAACUUAGAUUAACUUGUCAAAAUGAGAUUACACUGAUCCUGUCCACUGCAUGCACAAAACGGAAUGCAUCCACCAAGGACCCAGCCUUGUCAGCUGCGGCAUAUAUGCCAAGAUACGUUGACCUGAGCUGCAGCGGGAAGAUCUCAGCGGGGACCACAAAUGUGGUGGCAUUAGGGCUGAAGUUUGUGAAGAAGGUGAAUGAGUACAUGAUCAUGAACCCGAUUCGAUUGUCUGGCAAGGUCCGUUGCCCAUCAUCAAUUGUACCGCAAACCCUCUGAUCUUGUCGUUGAAUGCCAGCGUGAACCAGUAACUUUACGCAGCUAUUAUUAUACAAAGCUAGAGCUCGAGCAGCUCAUUGCAUUCAACUAAGCCCCAACUACCACAUCUCUAGUACGAGUUCUUCGGCGCCUAGCUGGUGAAGGCCGAGCUUGAGCUCCGGUCCACCCCUCCCACCACUGAGAGAGUUCUGUUGAGCACUCCUGCAUGCCCGAGCCUCCCACAGUCCCAUCCGUUCCAUACAACACAUCUGUCUUCGAUCGUAAAUCAUCUUCACCUCCUUCAUCCUUUUGGUACAUAAGUCGUGUUGAAGGAAUUUCUUGGCAGCUUGCUACUGGAUAUAUCGUGGAGGAAGGACAUGCACGAAGUCUGCAACUUAUGAGCACACUUGCCAGUGCGAUGCCGGUUACACUAUUCUCGUGAAUGUUGGCAUCUUCCCAUGCUUCAGUGAUUCAUGUCUAGCGUUGGAUUCUUUGAAGGCACAAUCGGUAACGACUGUGAAAAGCUCAGAAUAAAAGUUUCCAACUCAUCUACCAUAAGAUUAGACAGCGGAAGUUAAGCGCACAUGUUCCUACCUCGGAAGUCGCUGUGGAUGACCAUCUUCACACCAUCUAUGGCUUUGGUUCUAUGGAACUAGUAAGAGGGCAUCACGAGACUGAGGCUUCAUGUGGAGUUGCACUAAAGACGUAUAUAUUAUACUCAAUUUCCGUUCGUGCAAUGGCUUAUAUUGCACUUUGUUCUUUAUUUGUUGAAGUGACAUUCUUGUGUAAAAUUGUUAUAGAAACAUGUCUAUUGUAUGGUUUGACACUACACUACACUAUAUUACAUGUCUAGAAGAGGCCAGUGCUUUCACUC